RNAcentral lists this ribosomal RNA (588 nucleotides) under uncultured bacterium. RNAcentral describes it as "bacterial SSU rRNA". It matches the Rfam family "Bacterial small subunit ribosomal RNA", at positions 338 to 917 of the family's 1533-position model. The record is from RNAcentral.
CCUACGGGAGGCAGCAGUGGGGAAUAUUGCACAAUGAGCGAAAGCUUGAUGCAGCCAUACCGCGUGUGUGAAGAAGGCCCGAGGGUUGUAAAGCACUUUCAAUUGUGAGGAAGAUAGUGUCGCUAAUAUCGGCAUUGUUUGACGUUAACUUUAGAAGAAGCACCGGCUAACUCUGUGCCAGCAGCCGCGGUAAUACAGAGGGUGCAAGCGUUAUUCGGAAUUACUGGGCGUAAAGCGCGCGUAGGCGGACUAUUGAGUCAGUUGUGAAAGCCCUGGGCUCAACCUGGGAACUGCAUCUGAUACUGGUAGUCUAGAGUUUAGUAGAGGGAAGGGGAAUUCCUAGUGUAGCAGUGAAAUGCGUAGAUAUUAGGAGGAACAUCAGUGGCGAAGGCGCCUUCCUGGACUAAAACUGACGCUGAGGUGCGAAAGCGUGGGUAGCGAACGGGAUUAGAUACCCCGGUAGUCCACGCCGUAAACGAUGUCAACUAGUUGUUGGUUUUAUUAAAAAGAUUAGUAACGCAGCUAACGCGAUAAGUUGACCGCCUGGGGAGUACGGUCGCAAGAUUAAAACUCAAAGGAAUUGACGGA